UGAUCUUAUCUGAGCAGGCGGCGGUGGAGACGGAGGCUGCGGGGAAGAUUGUGAGAAUAAUAUGCUACCCAGCACGCUAAAGUAAUAGCGGAGGCUGCCGGAGGCUCUGAUUUCUUCACAAUUUGUUAAGUCAGUCUUCCCCGGAGCCCCCUUUCACGGCUGUACUGCGAUGAAGACUGCCCGCCAUCGGAGCCUAUUUCAUUUUAAUGUGGCGAUGAUGGUUGCGCGGGCUUUUCCCAAAUCUAUAGUUAUUUUUGCCAGAUUUAUUGUUAGUUCACCUUCUCUGAUAUAUCAUUCAUUAUAUUCUUGUCUGUAGCCGAGCAUCCCUCAAUCGUUAUGUGGGUAGCCCUAUAUUGUUAUGUUAAAACUUUCAGUCGAUGAUAUUCUCCACUUUACCCAGUGGAUAUAUUUUGGAUCCGCAGCUUUAAUUUGUUCAAAUCCUGUCUACUAGCUUAUGUUUGAAUGGAGCUGCUUAUUCUGCAUUUGUUUGAGUCCCAUUCAUUUGAAUAAAUGUGCUAUGGAAUAGAGAUUGACGACGAAUGUGUUGUCAAAAAAGAAAAUAUUUUUUAUUUGCGAAUCUAGGAAUGUGUUGGAUAAAAAUGGGCAUUGUAAAAAAAAAAUGUAAAGUAACUAAUGGCAAAUAUGAGCUUAGGUUCUUUGUCUUUUUUUGUUUGAAAUGAGAUUGUGAUGUGUUAAAACUUUUGAGUCUGUCGAAUACUUGCAUUGCUUAUUUCCCCUUGGAUUUUUAAUUCUUUGUUCCACGUCCUCUUACUGAUUACCAUGUGUAGUAGAGUAGUUCAUUUAAGGUUUGUCUGUCCCCUUUUAAUUUUAAAAAGUGUAUUAUGGAAUAGUUCAAAUGUGUGAUUAAAAAUAAAGAUAAAGUUUUUGAUUUAUGUGUAAUAUUGUUUUAAUUAAGAAUUUAUUGUUGAAAAUGAAUACUGUCACGGAACAGUUGACAAAUAAAGGCUUAAUUCUUUCUUUUUGGUUUCAAUCGAUGUAAACAGAUCGUAGAAAGUGCUUGCACAGCACAACCCCCAAGGCAGUGGGAUGCAGAGCUGCAAAUGUAAAGAUAAUUAGUCACGAGGUUUUAAAAUCAACAUUAUUGAAGAUUGAUUAUCGGGAGGAACUGCAACCAAAGCCACGAAACGAAGUUUAGUGAAAUUGUUCUGUUAAAAAGCACAAGGGUACAACAUCAUUAUCAAGUGAAGUAACCACAUUGAUGUCAACCACAGAACCAAGUAAGUGCAGAUGAGGUCUGAGCUAUUGACAUUUCACAUGUAGACUUGUUAAGGUUGAGAUUGUAUAAUAGUAAAGGGACUUUAGGAUGGAUGACUAAACUGGCAAACCAUUAGCCCUUGUUCGAGCUCCAUUUUUUCAUUAAAAUAUAUUUUCAAUGGUGAUUUGAUUUCAA
Olea europaea var. sylvestris is the source of this 1411-nucleotide long non-coding RNA. RefSeq lists it as uncharacterized. The transcript has 2 exons. The record is from RefSeq and is a predicted model, not a curated record. Lineage: Eukaryota; Viridiplantae; Streptophyta; Magnoliopsida; Lamiales; Oleaceae.